This 495-nucleotide ribosomal RNA is filed under the name Pennahia aneus (bigeye croaker). Its description in RNAcentral is "partial small subunit ribosomal RNA". It matches the Rfam family "Bacterial large subunit ribosomal RNA", at positions 1850 to 2541 of the family's 2925-position model. Lineage: Eukaryota; Metazoa; Chordata; Actinopteri; Sciaenidae. The record is from RNAcentral.
AGGUCCUGCCUGCCCACUGACCAUGUGUUUAACGGCCGCGGUAUUCUGACCGUGCAAAGGUAGCGCAAUCAUUUGUCUUUUAAAUAAAGACCCGUAUGAAAGGCAAAACGAGGGCUUUACUGUCUCCUUUUUCAAGUCAAUGAAAUUGAACCCCCCGUGAAGAAGCGGGGAUUCUUCCAUAAGACGAGAAGACCCUGUGGAGCUUCAGACACAUGAACAGAUCACGUCAAAACCCCCUUACAAAGGAAUGAACUAAACGAACCCUGUUUAAAUGUCUUCGGUUGGGGCGACCACGGUGGAACUACAAAACCCCCGCGUGGAACGAGAGCACCCCGCUCCCACAACUAAGAGCUACCGCUCAAAUCAAGCAGAAUCUCUGACCAUCAAGAUCCGGCAAUGCCGAUCAACGAACCAAGUUACCCCAGGGAUAACAGCGCAAUCCUCUUUCAGAGUUCAUAUCGACAAGAGGGUUUACGACCUCGAUGUUGGAUCAGG